This is a long non-coding RNA of Quercus lobata, 702 nucleotides long. RefSeq lists it as uncharacterized. The transcript is spliced from 4 exons. The record is from RefSeq and is a predicted model, not a curated record. Lineage: Eukaryota; Viridiplantae; Streptophyta; Magnoliopsida; Fagales; Fagaceae.
UACGCCACAAAUGCUCUCUUCCUCUGCGACAGUAACCGAAUUCAACUAUGCCACAAAUGCUUCGCCUCACAACCAACCAACAUCAGACUGCUGGAACGGCUAUAGGUUCUUUGACUGUCACAUACAUGUUACAGGGAGGCAUUACUCACCAAGAUUUUGUAGGCCAUAAGGAUACAAUUGGACCCUGUGAUGUGCAGAAAAAAAAAGAAAAAAAGAAGAGAUUGUUGGCCAAUAAAUGAAGAAGAGCAGGGCAAAGGGAAGAUAGUAUAAAUUGGGGCAUUGCAAAGCCAAUACUUACUUUGAUUGGUAAUCUGGUGCCUUCUUUGUUUACAGCAUAAUUUAUAUUUUUUUAGAAUUUGUUAUUCUUAUUCCAUUGAUAUUGUGAGCUAUAGAUGGUUCUCUUAAAAAAGAACCACUAUAGGCAUGAGAAUUACAAAUUGUUUGCAAAGACUUGAGCAACUGAAAUUAUUACCUUUUUUAUUUCAAAAUGGUAGCAACAGUCACCUUCUCCUUGCUUCAUUUAUAGUUAGGACAUUUUGGGCCUACAAAUGAAUAUGAAUUGGUUGCCUCCUCUACUUGAUCACUUUAGAAGUCUAAGAUGUUUAGGCCCUAUUUGGUAGAGUUGUUAAACAAUAUAUUUUCAGCUUUUAAACAGCAUUACACACAUUUUCACACAAAUUUUUACCCACACAUAUUUCAAAA